CCUACGGGAGGCAGCAGUGAGGAAUAUUGGUCAAUGGACGAGAGUCUGAACCAGCCAAGUAGCGUGAAGGGUGACUGCCCUAUGGGUUGUAAACUUCUUUUAUAUGGGAAUAAAACGUUCCACGUGUGGGAUUUUGUAUGUACCAUAUGAAUAAGGAUCGGCUAACUUCGUGCCAGCAGCCGCGGUAAUACGGAGGAUCCGAGCGUUAUCCGGAUUUAUUGGGUUUAAAGGGAGCGUAGGUGGAUUGUUAAGUCAGUUGUGAAAGUUUGCGGCUCAACCGUAAAAUUGCAGUUGAAACUGGCAGUCUUGAGUACAGUAGGGGUGGGCGGAAUUCGUGGUGUAGCGGUGAAAUGCUUAGAUAUCACGAAGAACUCCGAUUGCGAAGGCAGUUCACUGGACUGCAACUGACACUGAGGCUCGAAAGUGUGGGUAUCAAACAGGAUUAGAUACCCCAGUAGUC
RNAcentral lists this ribosomal RNA (460 nucleotides) under uncultured bacterium. Its description in RNAcentral is "partial 16S ribosomal RNA". It matches the Rfam family "Bacterial small subunit ribosomal RNA", at positions 338 to 795 of the family's 1533-position model. The record is from RNAcentral.